AAUAGCUAGACACUACGUGUUGAGAUUAUAUUACCUACAUAUGUACAUGCGCACUUAUGCUCAUACGUGUCAUGUGCAACAAAAAAAAAAAUAAUAAAACUAACACUAAAACUAACACUAAAAAAAAAAAAAAAAAAAAAAGUGUAAAAUAAUUAUAUUUUUGUUUUGUUUGUUUGGAUUUUUUCUUUUAUCCUAUUUUUUUUUAUCGCCUCUUCGUGCGUGCUGAUUUGUAUUUGACUUCUUCAUAUUCCAGCACUUGUUUCCCAUCGCCUUAUAACCAACACAUAACCUUAAUGUAACUUAUCAAAAAAAAAAAAAAAAAAAAAAAAAAAAAUGGAUCUAAAAGGUGCAAAUAAAAACAUAGACAGUAAUGAUAUUUUAUGGAAAUCGUUAUAUAAUGACUUCGACGAAAUAACAGACACUAAUAAAAGGCAUUUGAAUUAUAUAGAAAAUAGUUUACAUAGUUUUUGCAAAGGCGUAAAGUCAGCAGAUAAUUUAAGUUAUGGUAUAAACAGAGAUAAAGAUGAUGACUUUCAUUUAAGGAGUGCAAAUAUGAAUGAUGAGACCAAAGAAGUGAAUAAAUAUAUUACUAGUAGUAAUAAAGAUAUAAAUGAAGGUAAAUAUACGAGUAUGGACUCACUUAAUAGUAUGAUGGAUAUAAAUAAAAAUGAAAAUAUUAACAGAAGUAUGCCUAAUAUGAGUGGAAAUAGUAACAUGAAUAAUGUAUUAAAAUAUGAUAGAAAUAUAAGUUUUUUAAAUAAACCAGAUAGUUUGUAUUUAAAAAAAAACUAUAUGUCAAAUGAGUUUGUAAAAAACAAUGAUAAUGAUAGUGUAUAUUUAAAAGGAUUACUCGAACAAAACUGUAUUGAAUUGCCAAAUAAAGAAACUAUAAAAACUCCUGGAAAUAUAAAAACAUCUUUAGUGCAUUCUUAUUGUUCAUCGGAAAAUGGUAAUAGAAAUGAUAUUAAUUUCGAUACCAAAUUAAAUUGGAAACGCAUUAAUAACUUGAUACAUUCAAAGAUGGAUAACUAUAAUUUUUAUGAUAAUAAAAAUUUACUAGAUAAUAAUUAUGAUAGUAAUAAAAAAUGGUUUGACAGUACUAGUGAAAAAUUGUAUGGUAAUAAUAUGAACAGAAGCUAUAUUGUACAUAAUAAUAAUAAUAAUAAUACUAAUACUAAUAAUUUAUAUGAUAGUCAAAGUGUCAAAAGUUGGUGUUACAAUAGUUUAAAAAACCCAAAACAAAAAAUUGUGUUAACAAGUAAAAGGGAUGGGGAUGAAGAUGGGGACGAAGGUGGGGAUGAAGAUGGGCAUGAAUAUACAUCGUUAAUUUCUAAGAAAAUAUAUCUUGAUUAUAUAAAAAAAGGAGUGAGACAAAAGGACAAAAACGAAAUAGGUAAUAACCAAUCGGAAUUAAGAAACACUUUAAACACAAAUUUAUUUUUUCAAAACAUUAAUAAGUAUAAAAAUAGAGAUGUAAAAUCAGAAAAUAGACAUGAAUUUAAUAAUGGCGAAGAUGAUAACGACAUAAUUAUGAAAGUAUGUAAAGAUGACACCCAUAAACAAACAAAACUAAACUCAAUCCAAAAGUUAAAUAAACUGUUACAAAAUAAAUAUAAAUAUGUAAAUGGCUCCAGUGAAGUAAAUAAAAAACAAAACAUAUAUUUAAAUAUGAAUAAGUAUAAUAACUAUUUUGAUAUUUUAAAAAAGGAAGAUGAAGUUAUUGGUUAUGAUGUGGAAAGUAUUCACAAGCAGAAUAGCAAAUGUGCUAAUGUAAAUAAUUAUGUCAAUCUUGAUAAUAAGAAAAAUGAUAAUUAUGCUAAUAUAUUAUUAAACGUGUCAUCAGCAACAAAUAUAGAAGAUAGUUCAUAUAAACAAUUAAUAAAGAAAUCAAAAAUGUUAAAUGAAAUAACACACAAAUGUUUGAAUUCUUAUUCAGAUAUAGGAAAGUAUGACACACGUAAUUUGUAUUUAAAUAAAAACUUAUCAUAUAGAAAUGGGGAUAAUAAAAAUCGUGUUAAUAAUAGUAACAUAAAAGAGCAAAAUUUAUAUGAUACGUGUCUUGGCCAUAAUAACGGUAGUAGUAACGGUAGUAACGGUAGUAGUAACGGUAGUAAUGGCGGUAGUAAUGACGGUAGUAAUAACAGUAGUAAUGACGGUAGUAAUAACAGUAGUAAUAACAAAAAUGAUAACAGCAGUAGCAGUAGCAGUAGCAGUAGCAGUAGCAGUAGCAGUAACAGUAACAGUAACAUAAAAACUCUUUCCAUCAAUUUCGAUAAUUAUAAGAAGCACAUUCUUGUUAAUGAGGGUUGUGAUGAUUUUAAUAAUAUGAUAAAUAAAGAGUUUAUAGAAUCAAACAUGGGGUAUAUUAGUAAUGCUUGUAAGCAAUUGGUGGGACAGGUUGAAAGCAAGUCUACUGGUGGUGGGAAUGAAAAUAAUAUUUUUAGUAACUCUACAAAUGUAGGAAAGAGUGAAAACAGGAGAAAAAAGGGAAAAAAGGGAAAAGAGGGAAAAGAGGGAAAAGAGGGAAAAGAGGGAAAAGAGGGAAAAGAGGGAAAAGAGGGAAAAGAGGGAAAAGAGGGAAAAGAGGGAAAAGAGGAAAAGAACCAAAGCGAUGGAAAAACUUUUAUUAAUUUGAAUGAACAGCUUAAUAAAAAUGAUUGUAGUGCCGAAAAUGAUUCCACUUUUUUGAAUAAAAUAAACGUUGAAAAAAACAACAGUAAUUAUAGUAAGGAAAAUGAGAAACAACAAAGAAACUGUGAUCAUACGAAUCUACAAAAUGCAGGAGAAUGUAUAACUUGCAAUAACAAUGGAAAUAGCAAUAGUAAUAGCAAUGGCAAUGUAUGUCAAAAAAACAAUGGCAUAAAUAAAACGAAUGGUGAUAAAAACAAUAAGAUCUCUUUUAAUCAUGUUAACGUUUUAAAAAACGGUGUAAACUAUAAUGACACAAAAAAAACUGAAGUUAAUAAUAAACAGUACGAACAAGCUAUUUUUGAGUUUAAUAAGGAUGUGGAUUCAGUUAAAAAGGAAGUUAUAGGAAGUGUUGCUACAGGUGAUAGUUACAGUGACAGUGUCAAUGGAUAUACAGGUGUGAUCACGUUACAUCCAAAUGUAAGUACAAACAUGUAUGAAACAAAUAACAACGAAGUAAUAUUGGAGAGCGAAAAAAAAAAAAUAACAGAUAAUCAAAAAAAAACACUAAAUAAAUGUUAUGAUAGUAUUUCGCAUAUAAACGAUAUUAAUCGUUUGUCUAAAGAAAUUUAUUUUUUUCAAGACUUGUGUGAAAAAAGAAAAAAUAUAAUAAAAAAAAGUAAAAAGGAAAAUAUGAAACUAAAAAUAGAAAUAAAAUCAUUACUAAAUUUUAAUAACAAUUUAAAUGAUUUAUUAAAAGAAAAAGAAGCAGAAAAAAAUUUUCUAAAAAAGCAAAAAGAAGAACUAGAGUUAAAUUUAAUGAAGCAGUUAAAGAAUAAUACGAAACAUACAUAUAUGGGUUUAAAUGAAGUUCGAAAAGUCCAAACAGAUUUGUAUCUCCAGAACAAUCAGUUAGGUAAUAGCAGUGGCGUGCUGGCAUGUAUUGAUGACACACGGUCAUGUAAUCAUGACAUGUCAUAUGAGAAAGAAAACGAUAACGCUGAAAAUAAAAUAUAUGAUGAAGAUACUACCCUAUUAAUACAAAGUUAUGAAAAAAAAAUAAAAGAAUUAUUAAUACAAGUG
Molecule: long non-coding RNA, 3711 nt
Organism: Piliocolobus tephrosceles (Ugandan red Colobus)
Lineage: Eukaryota; Metazoa; Chordata; Mammalia; Primates; Cercopithecidae
Source: Ensembl